Molecule: ribosomal RNA, 753 nt
Filed under: uncultured Achromobacter sp.
Lineage: Bacteria; Pseudomonadati; Pseudomonadota; Betaproteobacteria; Burkholderiales; Alcaligenaceae
Description: bacterial SSU rRNA
Rfam family: Bacterial small subunit ribosomal RNA
Source: RNAcentral
AUUGAACGCUAGCGGGAUGCCUUACACAUGCAAGUCGAACGGCAGCACGGACUUCGGUCUGGUGGCGAGUGGCGAACGGGUGAGUAAUGUAUCGGAACGUGCCUAGUAGCGGGGGAUAACUACGCGAAAGCGUAGCUAAUACCGCAUACGCCCUACGGGGGAAAGCAGGGGAUCGCAAGACCUUGCACUAUUAGAGCGGCCGAUAUCGGAUUAGCUAGUUGGUGGGGUAACGGCUCACCAAGGCGACGAUCCGUAGCUGGUUUGAGAGGACGACCAGCCACACUGGGACUGAGACACGGCCCAGACUCCUACGGGAGGCAGCAGUGGGGAAUUUUGGACAAUGGGGGAAACCCUGAUCCAGCCAUCCCGCGUGUGCGAUGAAGGCCUUCGGGUUGUAAAGCACUUUUGGCAGGAAAGAAACGUCAUGGGUUAAUACCCCGUGAAACUGACGGUACCUGCAGAAUAAGCACCGGCUAACUACGUGCCAGCAGCCGCGGUAAUACGUAGGGUGCAAGCGUUAAUCGGAAUUACUGGGCGUAAAGCGUGCGCAGGCGGUUCGGAAAGAAAGAUGUGAAAUCCCAGAGCUUAACUUUGGAACUGCAUUUUUAACUACCGAGCUAGAGUGUGUCAGAGGGAGGUGGAAUUCCGCGUGUAGCAGUGAAAUGCGUAGAUAUGCGGAGGAACACCGAUGGCGAAGGCAGCCUCCUGGGAUAACACUGACGCUCAUGUACGAAAGCGUGGGGAGCAAACAGG